GUAUGGACAAAGGUCUCUCACCAUCUCAUACAUUUCAAUAUACAUAUACAUAUAUUGAAAUGUAUGAGAUGGUGAGAGACCUUUGUCCCUA
RNAcentral lists this microRNA precursor (91 nucleotides) under Pelobates cultripes (western spadefoot toad). The record is from RNAcentral. Lineage: Eukaryota; Metazoa; Chordata; Amphibia; Anura; Pelobatidae.